AACGAACGCUGGCGGCAGGCUUAACACAUGCAAGUCGAGCGCCCCGCAAGGGGAGCGGCAGACGGGUGAGUAACGCGUGGGAACGUACCUUUUGCUACGGAAUAACUCAGGGAAACUUGUGCUAAUACCGUAUGUGCCCUUCGGGGGAAAGAUUUAUCGGCAAAGGAUCGGCCCGCGUUGGAUUAGCUAGUUGGUGAGGUAAAGGCUCACCAAGGCGACGAUCCAUAGCUGGUCUGAGAGGAUGAUCAGCCACACUGGGACUGAGACACGGCCCAGACUCCUACGGGAGGCAGCAGUGGGGAAUAUUGGACAAUGGGCGCAAGCCUGAUCCAGCCAUGCCGCGUGAGUGAUGAAGGCCCUAGGGUUGUAAAGCUCUUUCACCGGUGAAGAUAAUGACGGUAACCGGAGAAGAAGCCUCGGCUAACUACGUGCCAGCCGCCGCGGUAA
This 447-nucleotide ribosomal RNA is filed under the name uncultured bacterium. RNAcentral describes it as "partial 16S ribosomal RNA". It matches the Rfam family "Bacterial small subunit ribosomal RNA", at positions 29 to 523 of the family's 1533-position model. The record is from RNAcentral.